Molecule: long non-coding RNA, 629 nt
Organism: Oncorhynchus keta (chum salmon)
Lineage: Eukaryota; Metazoa; Chordata; Actinopteri; Salmoniformes; Salmonidae
Exons: 4
Source: RefSeq, a predicted model, not a curated record
UAGGGGCGGCAGGUAGCCUAGUGGUUAGAGUGUAGGGCGGCAGGUAGCCUAGUGGUUAGAGUGUAGGGGCGGCAGGUAGCCUAGUGGUUAGAGUGUAGGGGCGGCAGGUAGCCUAGUGGUUAGAGUGUAGGGGCGGCAGGUAGCCUAGUGGUUAGAGUGUAGGGGCGGCAGGUAGCCUAGUGGUUAGAGUGUAGGGGCGGCAGGUAGCCUAGUGGUUAGAGUGUAGGGGCGGCAGGUAGCCUCGUGGUUAGAGUGUAGGGGCGGCAGGUAGCCUAGUGGUUAGAGUGUAGGGGCGGCAGGUAGCCUAGUGGUUAGAGUGUAGGGGCGGCAGGUAGCCUAGUGGUUAGAGUGUAGGGGCGGCAGGUAGCCUAGUGGUUAGAGUGUAGGGGCGGCAGGUAGCCUAGUGGUUAGAGUGUAGGGGCGGCAGGUAGCCUAGUGGUUAGAGUGUAGGGGCGGCAGGUAGCCUAGUGGUUAGAGUGUAGGGGCGGCAGGUAGCCUAGUGGUUAGAGUGUAGGGGCGGCAGGUAGCCUAGUGGUUAGAGUGUAGGGGCGGCAGGUAGCCUAGUGGUUAGAGUGUAGGGCGGCAGGUAGUCUAGUGGUUAGAGUGUAGGGCGGCAGGUAGCCUAGUGG